This 253-nucleotide ribosomal RNA is filed under the name uncultured bacterium. Its description in RNAcentral is "partial 16S ribosomal RNA". It matches the Rfam family "Bacterial small subunit ribosomal RNA", at positions 524 to 776 of the family's 1533-position model. The record is from RNAcentral.
UACAGGGGGCGCGAGCGUUGCUCGGAAUCACUGGGCGUAAAGCGUACGCAGGCGGACCGUUAAGUCGGGUGUGAAAGCCCGGGGCUCAACCCCGGAAUUGCAUUCGAUACUGGCGGCCUUGAGUGCGGGAGAGGUGAGUGGAAUUCCUGGUGUAGAGGUGAAAUUCGUAGAUAUCAGGAAGAACACCAGUGGCGAAGGCGGUGCUCUGGGCCGGAACUGACGCUGAGGAGCGAAAGCGUGGGGAGCAAACAGG